UACAGAGACUGCAAGCGUUAUUCGGAUUCACUGGGCGUAAAGGGUGCGCAGGCGGCCGUGUGUGUAAGGUGUGAAAUCCCGGGGGCUCAACCCCGGACUGCGCCUUAAACUACAUGGCUAGAGUAUUGGAGAGGGUAGUGGAAUUCACGGUGUAGCAGUGAAAUGCGUAGAUAUCGUGAGGAACACCAGAGGCGAAGGCGACUACCUGGACAAUUACUGACGCUCAGGCACGAAAGCGUGGGGAGCAAAA
Molecule: ribosomal RNA, 250 nt
Filed under: uncultured bacterium
Lineage: Bacteria
Description: partial 16S ribosomal RNA
Rfam family: Bacterial small subunit ribosomal RNA
Source: RNAcentral